Molecule: long non-coding RNA, 325 nt
Organism: Dama dama (fallow deer)
Lineage: Eukaryota; Metazoa; Chordata; Mammalia; Artiodactyla; Cervidae
Exons: 3
Source: RefSeq, a predicted model, not a curated record
CUGAGAGAAGUCUCUCGCAUCUCACUUUAGGGAAGCUCCGCGUUUACACUGGAACGCCGGCAUUCCACAAGAUAAAACGAAACCCUCAAUUCCUCAGGAGUCCCGCCUCCAAAAGAGCGCCUGGGAGGCCUGCGCAGUACAGAUAUACCUACUGAGAAGACAGCAGACUUACUUUCAUCAUCUGAAUCAAAUCCAAAGAGGGUCUGACAUUUCUUUUGUGCAAGAUGAGACUAGCUAACAAGAUGGAAAUCAAAGCUACUGAGUAGAAUUUACAGCAAGAUGUUUUUGGCAUACCCCAGAGACACCCCAUUCCUGCUACAUGGAC